GUGCUCGCUUCGGCAGCACAUAGACUAAAAUUGGAAUGACACAGAGGAGAUUAGCAUGGCCCCUGCUCAAGGAUGACACGCAAAUUCGUGAAGCGUUCCAUAUUUUU
RNAcentral lists this small nuclear RNA (107 nucleotides) under Peromyscus maniculatus bairdii (prairie deer mouse). The record is from RNAcentral. Lineage: Eukaryota; Metazoa; Chordata; Mammalia; Rodentia; Cricetidae.